Molecule: ribosomal RNA, 253 nt
Filed under: uncultured bacterium
Lineage: Bacteria
Description: partial 16S ribosomal RNA
Rfam family: Bacterial small subunit ribosomal RNA
Source: RNAcentral
UACGUAGGGUGCUAGCGUUGUCCGGAAUUAUUGGGCGUAAAGAGCUCGUAGGCGGUUUGUCGCGUCUGCUGUGAAAACCCGAGGCUCAACCUCGGGCCUGCAGUGGGUACGGGCAGACUAGAGUGCGGUAGGGGAGAUUGGAAUUCCUGGUGUAGCGGUGGAAUGCGCAGAUAUCAGGAGGAACACCAAUGGCGAAGGCAGAUCUCUGGGCCGUAACUGACGCUGAGGAGCGAAAGCAUGGGGAGCGAACAGG